This is a long non-coding RNA of Vidua macroura (Pin-tailed whydah), 2078 nucleotides long. RefSeq lists it as uncharacterized. The transcript is spliced from 7 exons. The record is from RefSeq and is a predicted model, not a curated record. Lineage: Eukaryota; Metazoa; Chordata; Aves; Passeriformes; Viduidae.
UAUUUUUUGCCAACUUCUCUGUCCUAAAGCCUUUUUUCCCCCCUUUUUCUCCAUGCAGUGGGAUCUUACCUCCAUAAAACCAUUGCCUUUAUUGCUCAUGGAAAAGUGAUUUUCCCCCAGAAAAAUUCUUCAGUCAUCAAGGAGGAAGGCUAUACAUGCAAAUUCGGUUUCCUGAUGCAUUCCCACUUACUCUGCCCUUCUGUUCUGGCAGAAUGAGGAAAAACUGUGGGCUGCCAAAAGGUGAAGACAACCACUUUAUCUGCAAGAGAAUAUUCAUUUAUGGGACUUCACUAGUGACAUAGGUUUGAAAUGGGAAAAUGGGCUUAAAGCCUUCUUCAGGAGAGAUUUACUCACAGUUUCCUCCAGUGUCAUUCAGGGGCCAAGUUUUCAAGUCUUCCAGAUUUGGACUUGUUUUGAUUUCACUGCAUAAUCCUGCAAGAAUUCUGCCAACAACAAGGCCAAUGUGUCUGAAAACAGAUGGCAUUUCCAGUACCUAAAGCCUGGUCAGGUUGAUUGCUUUGAGUCUGUAAGGUCAUCAUGGUUGAAGGCAUGAAGAUGAGGACAUCAAAGCCUUUGCCCACUUAUGACAAUUACUCUGGAGACAAACACAGCUGAGAAGACAAAUGUUAUGAGCUACCUGUGGAGCCUCAUCUUGAGUAGCCUUGGGAGGGCCAAAGGUGCUUCCUUUUCCAGUUCCCUGCCUGGAUUUUAGAAGAUACCAUUUUUUAGCAUCCAAACAAGGAAAUCACAGCAAUUUCCAUGGGAAGAAUCUCAGACAUGACAGGGCUUCCCCCCAAAACACUGCCUGUAUAAUUGCUGAAGACAUUCCAAGCCACUCUAACGAAGUGCUGUCUGCCAGUCAUUAUGUUCUCCUUGGAGGACCAUCUGUUGCACUUCAAAUAUGUAAAGGUCUCUAUCAUUUAUUGCUCCAAACAAAUCCAGGCUUUUGUCUGAUGUGCUGGAGCUCCUGAAUGGAUUCUAAAGGACACGUCCUUGUAGGGAUAUUUGGAUUCUGGUAACUCGAGGUUGUUUUCUGAGAAACACACACUGAGUGAAUAUUCUGUUCUACCUUUUACUCUGGACAUAUUUUACACACACUUGCAGGAUGGUGUACUGCACAUGUUUGGGUAAUUUUGCAAGGAUCUGAUGAAGUUGUUAAAGCCAGGUAGGCAAUUUUGCCAGCAAUGAUAUUUUUAAUCUUCUUUUUUAAAAUGGCUUGGUAGUAGUGACUAAGGCAGACUAGGUGGCUCUGGGCAGCUCGCCAUUUUUAGGUAGUUUAAUUUGUUAAAAAUUAUCUUUCUUCCCACCCAAAUCCCCUUGAAACCAUUUGGAGAAGAGAACUGUUGAACAGUUGCCAGUAAUAAGUCCUACUGAGACCUCUGUAUCCUCCUGACAGAAAUGUUGGUGCCAACUGGAGACUGACUGGCACGAAUUUGAACUCCACACUACUUGAUAUAUUUGCUUCACAUGCACCAAUUACAAUAAUUACCACCUCUGUAGCUGAAGUUUAAGCACUCGGUCUGCUCUCCAUACCUCAGGUUGUUGGCAGUAUGUUCAAUCCUAUAAUCUCAAUUUUCUUGGAAUAAUUAAGUAGAAAAUAAAUACUUCAAAAAAUUAGGAGACAGUCUGAAUGGAAAUCAGAGGCUGCAUAAUAGAGUGGUUUGUCAUGUUGCUAUUGUUAAGCUGCAUUUAUUUCUAUUUAAUCUUUAUUUCUAAAAGGCAGCAUCUUCUUUUGCCUGCAGAGAUUCACCAGGAGAUGCUGUAAUCCAUUGACUUUUAUAUUCAGCAGUAGAGUAUCUCUUGAUGUCAAGGAAAAAGCAACAUGAACUCCUACUUGGUUUAGAUGUUUUAAAAAAUAUAAAUAUUCCUUUCAAAACAAAUGCUUUUGACUGGAAGAGGAAAUCACCCAUCUCUUACUCCUUUUGGCUGGGUGUUCCCAUGUAAGAUUGUUGGGAUUUAAUACCAGGACUGGCUUGAACUGCCCAAUUCCUGACAAUUCCACUGGUUUAAAUCUGAUGCAAUGGGGACCAUCUCUUCCCCACCCCUUUUGUCUUUCCAAGAGACUGGUUAAUUUUUAA